CCUACGGGAGACAGCAGUGAGGAAUAUUGGUCAAUGGCCGGAAGGCUGAACCAGCCAUGCCGCGUGAAGGUCAGUGCCCUAUGGGCGUUAAACUUCUUUUGUGCGGGAGCAAUAAUGGUCACGUGUGGCCAGACGAGAGUACCGUACGAAUAAGCCUCGGCUAACUCCGUGCCAGCAGCCGCGGUAAUACGGGGGAUGCAAGCGUUAUCCGGAUUUAUUGGGUUUAAAGGGUGCGUAGGCUGUGAGGUAAGUCAGCGGGGAAAUGCCCCCGCUCAACGGGGUGAAGUGCCAUUGAUACUGCCUUGCUGGAAUGCGGAUGCCGUGGGAGGAAUGUGUGGUGUAGCGGUGAAAUGCAUAGAUAUCACACAGAACACCGAUUGCGAAGGCAUCUCACGAAUCCGCGAUUGACGCUGAUGCACGAAAGCGUGGGUAUCAAACAGGAUUAGAUACCCCUGUAGUC
This 460-nucleotide ribosomal RNA is filed under the name uncultured bacterium. Its description in RNAcentral is "partial 16S ribosomal RNA". It matches the Rfam family "Bacterial small subunit ribosomal RNA", at positions 338 to 795 of the family's 1533-position model. The record is from RNAcentral.